CGAUAGAGGCGCACCUUUCAUCAGUAGCGCAGGAUAGGCUGCCAGAGCCGCUUGAUUCCUGUGCCAAAGGGAACGGUGCCGAAGGGGGUACAGCCGGCAUGUGCCGCCCUGGGUGUGUCCUGAACAAGGGCACAACUGUCAUCGCUUUUGCGGCGAUGAAGCGCUAUCAGA
RNAcentral lists this non-coding RNA (171 nucleotides) under uncultured Negativibacillus sp. Its description in RNAcentral is "Lysine riboswitch". It matches the Rfam family "Lysine riboswitch aptamer". From Rfam's summary of the family: Riboswitches are metabolite binding domains within certain messenger RNAs that serve as precision sensors for their corresponding targets. Allosteric rearrangement of mRNA structure is mediated by ligand binding, and this results in modulation of gene expression. This family includes riboswitches that sense lysine in a number of genes involved in lysine metabolism, including lysC. The record is from RNAcentral. Lineage: Bacteria; Bacillati; Bacillota.